AAGUGCCACCAUAUGGCAGCUCUGCUGAUUUGGACAGAAAAAAAUGUGUCCCGCACCGAUGUCGAGUGUGUGUGGAAGAGGGCGAAGAUGCCGAAGACGGAAAUCACAGCUAAGUGAGUGUCUGUGAUGGCACCAUCCACAACACAAGCUGGAAUAAAAAGAUCUGUCACCCAGGAGGACAAGGACUGGACAAGGACAAGGACUGGAGGACAAGGCAUGUGACUGGGGAAUCCACCAUGAGGCAAGGGCAAAGCAACAAUACACGGAGCGCACAGGUGUUGUCAUCCAGGAGAGGGGAUUGUUCUUGUCUCACAGCGGCCUACUCGGUGGUUCUCCAGAUGGGACAGUA
Cololabis saira (Pacific saury) is the source of this 349-nucleotide long non-coding RNA. RefSeq lists it as uncharacterized. The transcript is spliced from 3 exons. The record is from RefSeq and is a predicted model, not a curated record. Lineage: Eukaryota; Metazoa; Chordata; Actinopteri; Beloniformes; Belonidae.